UGAAUACGAGAUGCUACGGCGUCGAAGCAGUCUAUGUCAUACUUCCAAGAAAAGCUUGCACUGUCAUAAACAAAUAAUGCCUGUACCAUAACCGACACAGGUGGGUAGGUAGAGUAUACUAAGGGGCGCGAGAUAACUCUCUCUAAGGAACUCGGCAAAAUGACUCCGUAACUUCGGGAGAAGGAGUGCCUUAUUUAUAAGGUUGCAAUAACAAGAUCCAAGCAACUGUUUACCAAAAACACAGGUCUCCGCUAAGUCGUAAGACGAUGUAUGGGGGCUGACGCCUGCCCAGUGCCAGAAGGUUAAAGAAGUUGGUUAGCAUCCGCGAAGCUGAUAACUGAAGCCCUGGUGAACGGCGGCCGAAACGAUAACGGUCCUAAGGUAGCGAAAUUCCUUGUCGGGUAAGUUCCGACCCGCACGAAAGGCGUAAUGAUUUGGAUACUGUCUCGGAGAGGGGCUCGGUGAAAUAGACUUGUCUGUGAAGAUGCGGACUACCUGCACCAGGACAGAAAGACCCUAUGAAGCUUUACUGUAACCUGAAAUUGAAAUUGGACUUUACUUGCGCAGUAUAGGUGGGAGGCGUUGAGAAUAUUCUUGCGGGAUUAUUGGAGCCAUCAGUGAGAUACCACUCUUGUAAUGUUAGAUUUCUAACUUUGUAUCAUUAUCUGGUCAAAGAACAGUUUCAGGCGGGCAGUUUGACUGGGGCGGUCGCCUCCUAAACGGUAACGGAGGCGCACAAAGGUUUCCUCUGAACGGGUAGAAAUCGUAUCUAGAGUGUAAAGGCAUAAGGAAGCUUGACUGUGAGACCUACAAGUCGAGCAGGGACGAAAGUCGGUCUUAGUGAUCUGACGGUGCUGAGUGGAAAGGCCGUCACUCAACGGAUAAAAGUUACUCUAGGAUAACAGGCUGAUCUCCCCCAAGAGUUCACAUCGACGGGGAGGUUUGGCACCUCGAUGUCGGCUCAUCGCAUCCUGGGGCGGUAGUACGUCCCAAGGGUUGGGCUGUUCGCCCAUGAAAGCGGUACGCGAGCUGGGUUCAGAACGUCGUGAGACAGUUCGGUCCAUAUCCGGUGUAGGCGUUAGAAUAUUGAGAGGAGCCUUCUUUAGUACGAGAGGACCGAGAAGGACAUACCUCUGGUGUACCAGUUAUCGUGCCAACGGUAAACGCUGGGUAGCUAUGUGUGGAGUGGAUAACCGCUGAAAGCAUCUAAGUGGGAAGCCCACCUCAAGAUAAG
RNAcentral lists this ribosomal RNA (1234 nucleotides) under metagenome. RNAcentral's name for it is "bacterial LSU rRNA". It matches the Rfam family "Bacterial large subunit ribosomal RNA", at positions 1564 to 2808 of the family's 2925-position model. The record is from RNAcentral.